AUGAUGCAUAGCCGAGUUGAGAGACUGAUCGGCCACAUUGGGACUGAGACACGGCCCAAAACUCCUACGGGAGGGCAGCAGUAGGGAAUCUUCCACAAAUGGACGCAAGUCUGAUGGAGCAACGCCGCGUGAGUGAAGAAGGUUUUCAGAUCGUAAAAGCUCUGUUGUUGGUGAAGAAGGAUAGAGGUAGUAACUGGCCUUUAUUUGACGGUAAUCAACCAGAAAGUCACGGCUAACUACGUGCCAGCAGCCGCGGUAAU
This 260-nucleotide ribosomal RNA is filed under the name uncultured Lactobacillus sp. RNAcentral's name for it is "partial 16S ribosomal RNA". It matches the Rfam family "Bacterial small subunit ribosomal RNA", at positions 276 to 524 of the family's 1533-position model. Lineage: Bacteria; Bacillati; Bacillota; Bacilli; Lactobacillales; Lactobacillaceae. The record is from RNAcentral.